GGGCCUGUAGCUCAGGUGGUUAGAGCACACGCCUGAUAAGCGUGAGGUCGAUCGUUCGAGUCGAUCCAGGCCCACCA
This 77-nucleotide transfer RNA is filed under the name Leptospirillum ferrodiazotrophum. Its description in RNAcentral is "tRNA-Ile". It matches the Rfam family "tRNA". Rfam says of the family: Transfer RNA (tRNA) molecules are approximately 80 nucleotides in length. Their secondary structure includes four short double-helical elements and three loops (D, anti-codon, and T loops). RNAcentral also lists the same sequence under 2 other names. Lineage: Bacteria; Pseudomonadati; Nitrospirota; Nitrospiria; Nitrospirales; Nitrospiraceae. The record is from RNAcentral.